Long non-coding RNA from Oncorhynchus kisutch (coho salmon), 2898 nucleotides. The record is from Ensembl. NCBI's taxonomy places the organism in Eukaryota, Metazoa, Chordata, Actinopteri, Salmoniformes, Salmonidae.
GAACACCCGGGCUUCAAGGGCCACCAGGUAUGUUGUUGCAGUUGGGAUUUAGUGUAAUAACAGAAUUAUGACGACAAGCUCAAGUGAAGUCUUUUCAUCACUCUUGUCAUCAGUUUUCCUCUAAAGUGUUCUUCCCUCUGUAGGAAUACCAGGGAACCCUGGACAACCAGGAGCCAAGGGUAAAACAGCUGACAUUGUUUUUAGAAAAUGGAGGGCUCUAAACUUUGAUAUUGUGAUGACUGUGUAACUUUCUUUUAGGUGAGGCAGGAGAACCAGGAAGAAUCAUCAAUGCAGGUAACCGGUUGACUAUUGCAUAACAGCGGCGAUGUGUUUACAGUAGCUAUACAUCUGUAUGACUGUCAGUGUGUACCUAAAACUGCUUGUGGUGAUUCCUCAGGGGGAUCUAGUUCUGUGGCCAUCCCCGGCCCCCCAGGAAGCCCCGGAGCACCCGGUCAAGCCGGACCCCCAGGGUUAUCAGGCCCCAUUGGCCCUGCUGGUCUUCCUGGCCAGUCUGGUCCUAAAGGUGAGAGAGGGCUGAAGGGUGAGAUGGGUAUUCAGGGACUCCAGGGAGAGGCAGGUAUCUCAGUGAAAACCAGUGAAACCGUCAGCUCAUCCAGAGCUGAGAGACAGUUCAGUCUUCCUGCACAACCAGGUCCCCCUGGUCCCCCUGGACCCCCUGGAGCCCCUGGACGUGCAGGUGACUCAAGAUCAGGACUCCCAGGACCAGCUGGUCCCCCAGGAGAGCCAGGAUAUGGCAGACCUGGUCCUAGAGGAGAGAAAGGAGAGUCAGGAAGCUUUGUACCCAAUUCAGGAACAUUCUUCUCUGGACCCCCUGGACCUCCCGGGCCAUCUGGGCCAAAAGGAUCACCUGGUACACCAGGACCAAGAGGAAACCAAGGUAUGUGGUCUAAAAAGCUACAUUUGGUGGAAAUCAAUUCAUAUAACAGAAUGAACUACUUAUCUAGAUCCACAUUGGUUGUUCCCAUUGGAAACACUAAUCCUCUGUCCUUCAUCCCUGUGUCCCAUGUUCCCUUGUAGGAGAUUCAGGCCAGCCUGGUCUACCAGGGAGCCCAGGAAGACCAGGAGUAGGCUCUGAAAGAGGUGAACUUAUCUUGGUCAAACUCAAGGCUAAACCAACAGCGAUUGAAAAAAAACAUGACCAACUCUGAUACAGGAGGUUAUUGACCCAGUAAUGAGAAUUUAUUGUGGCCCACCAUAGUCUACCACUGGUCUAGUGGUUCUCAAACCUCUCCUCUGGGACCCACAGACUAGCUCAUCUCUAAAUUAGCUCAACUAAUUCACCUAGUCAUGGGCUUGAUAAUAAGUGGACAAGUUGAAUCAGGGUGUGCUAGCUCUGGAAUAGAUCAAAUACAUGGAACGGCUGGGGGGCCCAGAGGAGAGGUUUGAUAACCACUGCUAUAGACCAUAGUCAAAACAUUGUUAACGGGCAGAAGUCUAGAAGUAUGUAUAGUAGGACAAAAUAUUUCUGAUUAAUUGCUUUGCUCUUUUGUUCCACACAGCAUCACCAUACGGUGGAACACAUGGGCCACCUGGGCCCCCAGGGACUCCAGGGAUUCCUGGACCAGAGGGACGGAAAGGUAAACUACCAAAACUUGGGAAUCUUAAUUAGAAACAAAUACACUUAGCUUCUGAAGGUUGUGGUGCCUGUAAAAGUAACAGGUCUAGACUCAGUCUUUGAAAUAACUAGUUGUCUUAUUCUCCACAUUUCCAAGGCGAACCUGGAAUUCCCGGUUCUCCUGGUCUUCCUGGCUCUGCAAGAGGUAAACACUCAUCUUUGACCUGCUGUCAAUAUUCCACCCACAACAUUAGAUACACUUAGAUCAUCAAGGUCUCCAAGGUGAACAGCCUCUGGCAUGUUAGAACAAUGUAUGUAAGGGAAGUAGGCAAGUCAGAUCCGUAACGUCAGGAUAAGGAUUGGCUCUAAGGGCUGGGUCGGUCGGGGCUGGGGUGCGAAGCGGGGCUGCGCUCGAGCCGUGGCUGGGGGAGCAGUUGCUCCGCCUCCCUUCUCUCGCCACUGCUGGAAGUUCGUUGUGCGGUCCAACUUGUGGGCUCUCGUUUGUGGCAGCGGCGACUCUGGACGCGUGCUGGGCCCUUCUCGCGGAUCUCCCCAGCUACGGUACUCGUUGGCCUCGUUUACGUGGGGUCUCUGGCGGGUUGCCUCGGCCUGACUUAGAACUGGUGCCGACCAGGGGAAUCCGACUGUUUAAAAUGAAAAGCCCCAGAAAAUAGUGAAGCGUGGGCAAGCGAACACAAUACUACACAAGAAAUGGGAACUAAAAACCUAAAUAAAAUCGGCAGACAACCAGAGAGCCACAACAUAAUAUAGCUACUAAAAUGCAUAUAUAGCGGGCAAGAAAUUUAUGAACAAAGGGGCCUUUGGACAGGACCCCAACACCCAAUUGUGGUGAGGAGCAAAAAGAAGUCUAAGGCCCAAGCUAUGGGGCCCGUGCAAGCAAUAAAAAUGUAUAUAUAGCGGGCAAGAAAUCUAUAAAUUAAUCAACACCUAAUAAAGGUGAUGAGUACAAAUGUGUUUACAAAGGGGCCUGUAGACAGGACCCCAACACCUAAUAAUGGUGACGAAUGCAGUGAGAACAAAUCAAAAACCUGGACAUGCCAAACCAGGCGCGACCUCGUGCGGACACCACAGGGAAAAAAGGUUGCGAAGUGAGCUAAGUAAUGCAGGAUGCACCUCCUGAUAGCCGAAAAAAGGUGCCGCUAGUGGGUUGGGUACCACUGGUGAAAUCUUCUUAUCUUGACCCAGUACAGCCUCAGAGGAAGGGCCACUCCAAGGAGCUGGGUCCUCCCAGGGUCCUCCCAGGGUUUCUCCGCUGGGCCCGACUAGUUUUUGCCACUGGCCGCCUUACAUCAUUUUCAAAC